UAGCAUGAAUAUGAAACUCAAAUGAAUUAUUAAUUUGUUUUCAAUGCAGCCGUUUAUAUAAUCCAAAUAUAAACUUUAAACGCUUUCACUUGAAUUAGUUUACUAGAACAGAUCGGAAAAUGCGGUUUUUAUCCAUUAACUUGACACGAGCAGGCCUGAGUUGAUGCGAGGUCACGUGACUGACUAUUCUACAAUAGACGCAAUUGCCGUGCUAGUUCAUAAAAUUAGUUAUCCAUGCCAUCGCUUUCCGCCAAUAGUACUUUAUUCGCGCUGACUGUUUAUGGUGAGUGGUUUCAAACACAGGUGGCUCGAGUGUAUUCAAUAAAACACCAUCGUUCAUUUUCGGCCAUGUCGCCAUCGUCGUCACAGCAAAGCCAGGCGAGAAGAUGCAUAUACUCCUCACAUACAGUUCUAUUACAUGAACCUAAAUAAGUCUUCAUAAAAGUUAAUAGCACACAUUCAACAAUCAUAUUUGAUAUUACGUAAAUGCGUGAAACAGCUGUAAAUAAUAUCUUAAUCAAAUCCAUUUUAUAUGACUUUUUAUUUAUCACCAAGGAACCGCUCCAUCUUCAGCCAGUUCAGAAUAUUUAACAUGCAGCCAUUUACAAGCAGACAAGGGGGAGGACUGUUUGUUACCUGAGACUUAACAAAGCUGUGGAGGUUCAGCAGCAAGCCUUUGGCCUCUGGAGUCAUCACUAGCACGGUGAAAUGGGCAUCCAACAGCAAGCAUACCCAAUCCAUGAUCUACAAUCAAAUGCAAA
This is a long non-coding RNA of Etheostoma spectabile (orangethroat darter), 761 nucleotides long. RefSeq lists it as uncharacterized. The transcript is spliced from 2 exons. The record is from RefSeq and is a predicted model, not a curated record. NCBI's taxonomy places the organism in Eukaryota, Metazoa, Chordata, Actinopteri, Perciformes, Percidae.